This is a non-coding RNA of Diatrype stigma, 147 nucleotides long. NCBI's taxonomy places the organism in Eukaryota, Fungi, Ascomycota, Sordariomycetes, Xylariales, Diatrypaceae. The record is from the annotation of a GenBank genome assembly.
GGCCGGUUGGCGCAAUGGUGAGUUCCAAAUCUCCUAAAACAGAUCACAAGCAAACAGCCCACUAAUAACAGAAUAGGUAGCGUGUGAUCCUCCUAUAAAGGUGUAUCAAUCAGAUCAAGGUUGCGUGUUCGAGUCCCGCAUCGGCCU